Molecule: non-coding RNA, 2400 nt
Organism: Phalacrocorax carbo (great cormorant)
Lineage: Eukaryota; Metazoa; Chordata; Aves; Suliformes; Phalacrocoracidae
Source: RefSeq, a predicted model, not a curated record
CCCCACACGGCCGGCAGCAGAGGCUGGCUGGAACCCGCCCAGCGGCCCUAUUCUGGCCGCUGGCAGUCCUCGCCUUGCCCGGGCGGGGCGGCUCAGGAAGGGCUGGAGGGGAAUCAGUAAAAAUCUGGGAGAUUGGUGCCGUUAAAAGUAGAGAACUGCCGAGACCAACUUUUUUUUUCCUGGACAAUGGAAAAUACUAUUAAGUUUUCCUUUUGUAUCCUGUGCUUCACUUCUGUAGGUAAGCUGUCUUUGGUUUCAUCAGCUGAGAGAUUACGUGAUGAGGUGGCUUGCUUAAAACGGGAAGAAACUAGACACAGCGAUUCAGGAGAGCUCUUUCAGCGUUACACUUCACGUUGUUAACCAAAAAUAUUAAACGCUGCAUCAAGUUACUACUUUCCUAAACUAAAUCUCGGCUUCGUUAGCUACGGUGAAGAAAAUCAUUGCAAGAUUUUCAGUUUGACAUGAAAAAUUAGGUAUUCUGGGAACAAGAAAUGCAAGCAGUUAUCGCCCAAAUGGGGAACACUCCCGAAUAAAGCCCUGGUGCCCAUAUGCCCAUAUUUUGAAAAAAAUGUUAAACGUCAGUUGGAGUGAAGAAAAGAAACAUUUAUAUUCUUUUGAAGCUGAAGAAAAUUAUUCAGGGGUAGAAACUUACAAGGCUGAAGUUGUUUAUCUUAGCUGAAAAAGACCAAGAAGCAAUUUGAUCGUACUUUGCAGGAAGGAACUAUUUGUUACGAAAUGGCUAUCAGGAAAAUGUACAGACAUGGGUGACCAGACCCACAAGCCAGUUAAAUUUAGAAAGAUUUCCCGCCCCCCCCUGUAAGAACCAACUAUUAAAAUAAAGUACUAAGAGGAACAGCAGAGUUACAGUCGUUGAAUAUAAAAAUCUGCUAGAUCUAGGUAUUUAAAUAAAAUUUGGAUCUCUCUGGUAUACAGGUUUAGGUAAACACAACUCCACACACAUAAUGCCAUGUAAGAAAACAGGAAAUCGAAAGGGGAUGAUAUAAUAUUGCUAUCUGGCUAGAAUUCAUUGUGAGUGUCUGUAAAUAGGGGUAUAUACUACUUCUCUGAAAGCAGUAGCUGCCAAAAAUCUGUUUUUCUUUGUCAGUCGGAAAGGGGAUUUUACUCUGUUGCUGAAUUCUUCUGCUUUUUAAAAUUCUUCUGAAUCAAUUUCGUUAGUUUCUUUCAACAACUUUAAAGAAGAGAAAUUUCUGGAGCAGACAUACUUCCUGGUUGCUUUUAACAUGUCAGUGAAAUACGCUGCUCCCUGUGGGUAGAAUUGUCAAAAUUAGUUGUUGUCAGUAAAAUGGACAGUAUUUUUAUUUUUAGGAUUAUUAUUUCAGAUGAGGUUGAAAGAUGCAUCUGUGACCUCAAAAUUAUCUCCCUAGUUUUAUGAUGUAGACAUUAAAGCAUUCCCUACAGACAUUAUUGCGCUUUUUUCCCCGUUUGUUUUCCUCUAGGAGCAGUAAGAGGCAUGCAGACCGGCAAGGUCUUAGGUUUUGUCUUCGUUGGGGGGUUUGGUGGGCGUUUAGGAGGGGAUUCCCCCUACAGUCCAGUGCUAAAACUUUUAAGUGCCCUAAUGCCUAGUCAGCAUUAUAAACAAAAAAUCAAAGCAUGGAGAUUCCACUUAACAUUACCAAACCCUACGAACUGUACAAAAUACUCCAAAGUUCGCUUUUCUGGUUUUUUAAUGGCCUUAGUUGUCCCAUCACCAGAGAGUGCUUGCCACUGCAGUUAGAGCAGCAUGUGGAGCAUUAAGCAGUCCACAGUCACCAAAGGCAGUACUCGCAUUCCGGAAAGCAUCACGCUUUGGGGCUGCAGCAGUUAGAAAUCAGUAAUUGCUCUCGCCGUUUUAUUUAUUUGCAAUUAGUACGUACUUGGGGAACAAUUUACAGCCAGUGAAUUAGCUCUCCAUUAGCCUGGCUGCGACUACUAGCCAGAGUUUCGGCUGUCCGUUCUCGUGAGAGGAGCCUGAACUCCUCCUCUGGAGCAACUUAUGUACAAAGGGAUGGAAGAUAAUUUGGAGGUUUCCCCCCGGGCACCAGUGAUUUAUUGCUCAGUAAUGUUGUUUUAAAGAACUAGACGCGCCCAAACGCUGCUUUCAAUUCUAACCGGGCUUCCCCCGAGGCAGACGCAAUCUUUACGGGCAACUUGCAAGCGUGCGGAGAAGGGGAAGUCUACGUGCCGCCGGCUCGUACCUGUUUCAGAACUGCUACUUGAGAUUUUACGGACCAAACAAACGAACUGCAACAUGCUGGUGUAGAAACAAGACAAGUCCUCUGAUGACAUCUAUGCGAGAUAACGGGAGUCGCAAAAAGCUUCCUUUCUAACCUCAGAUUUGCAUGAUUUGCUUUCGCCACCGAGGAGGGGAAGUACCGCGGAAUAAAUGCAGACGUAGACAGA